RNAcentral lists this ribosomal RNA (819 nucleotides) under uncultured bacterium. RNAcentral's name for it is "bacterial SSU rRNA". It matches the Rfam family "Bacterial small subunit ribosomal RNA", at positions 59 to 834 of the family's 1533-position model. The record is from RNAcentral.
CAGUCGAACGCGUCUUGGUUAUUGAUGUUGGAUGCUUGCAUUUAACUGAUUUAACAUUGAGACGAGUGGCGAACUGGUGAGUAACACGUGGGUAACCUGCCCUUGAAGUAGGGGAUAACACUUGGAAACAGGUGCUAAUACCGUAUAACAACCAAAACCACCUGGUUUUGGUUUAAAAGAUGGCUUCGGCUAUCACUUUAGGAUGGACCCGCGGCGUAUUAGCUUGUUGGUAAGGUAACGGCCUACCAAGGCAAUGAUACGUAGCCGACCUGAGAGGGUAAUCGGCCACAUUGGGACUGAGACACGGCCCAAACUCCUACGGGAGGCAGCAGUAGGGAAUCUUCCACAAUGGACGAAAGUCUGAUGGAGCAACGCCGCGUGAGUGAUGAAGGGUUUCGGCUCGUAAAACUCUGUUGUUGGAGAAGAACAGGUGUGAGAGUAACUGUUCACAUCUUGACGGUAUCCAACCAGAAAGCCACGGCUAACUACGUGCCAGCAGCCGCGGUAAUACGUAGGUGGCAAGCGUUGUCCGGAUUUAUUGGGCGUAAAGCGAGCGCAGGCGGUUUCUUAGGUCUGAUGUGAAAGCCUUCGGCUUAACCGGAGAAGUGCAUCGGAAACCAGGAGACUUGAGUGCAGAAGAGGACAGUGGAACUCCAUGUGUAGCGGUGAAAUGCGUAGAUAUAUGGAAGAACACCAGUGGCGAAGGCGGCUGUCUGGUCUGUAACUGACGCUGAGGCUCGAAAGCAUGGGUAGCGAACAGGAUUAGAUACCCUGGUAGUCCAUGCCGUAAACGAUGAGUGCUAAGUGUUGGAGGGUUUC